UUCCUACAGAGGAGCCAGGUUUAGUACC
This 28-nucleotide non-coding RNA is filed under the name Mus musculus (house mouse). The record is from RNAcentral. Lineage: Eukaryota; Metazoa; Chordata; Mammalia; Rodentia; Muridae.